AGUGAACGCUGGCGGUAGGCCUAACACAUGCAAGUCGAACGGCAGCACAGUAAGAGCUUGCUCUUACGGGUGGCGAGUGGCGGACGGGUGAGGAAUACAUCGGAAUCUACUUUUUCGUGGGGGAUAACGUAGGGAAACUUACGCUAAUACCGCAUACGACCUACGGGUGAAAGCAGGGGAUCUUCGGACCUUGCGCGAUUGAAUGAGCCGAUGUCGGAUUAGCUAGUUGGCGGGGUAAAGGCCCACCAAGGCGACGAUCCGUAGCUGGUCUGAGAGGAUGAUACGCCACACUGGAACUGAGACACGGUCCAGACUCCGACGGGAGGCAGCAGUGGGGAAUAUUGGACAAUGGGCGCAAGCCUGAUCCAGCCAUACCGCGUGGGUGAAGAAGGCCUUCGGGUUGUAAAGCCCUUUUGUUGGGAAAGAAAAGCAGCAGGUUAAUACCCCGCUGUUCUGACGGUACCCAAAGAAUAAGCACCGGCUAACUUCGUG
This 492-nucleotide ribosomal RNA is filed under the name uncultured bacterium. RNAcentral's name for it is "partial 16S ribosomal RNA". It matches the Rfam family "Bacterial small subunit ribosomal RNA", at positions 29 to 507 of the family's 1533-position model. The record is from RNAcentral.